Molecule: long non-coding RNA, 2828 nt
Filed under: Sus scrofa (pig)
Lineage: Eukaryota; Metazoa; Chordata; Mammalia; Artiodactyla; Suidae
Description: lncRNA (ENSSSCG00005045830.1)
Source: RNAcentral
AUGGACCACAUACACACUAUUGUUGUUUUUUUUAAUUUAAAUUUUCAGCUAAACCGAAUUUACAAGAAGAUGCUCUGCAGUGUAAACACAAAGCAGUGGCCCCAACUCAGGGCCAGAAAGGAAGGGAGGCUGCUUCUUCUUCUUCUUCAGACUACUUCUCCUGCAUCUCUUCUGAAGACAAGCACACUGUUGCUCGAGUCUCAAAGUUACAUGAAUAUGAUCUACCAUCUGGCUACUCUUGGGAGUACAAUGCCCUGGUACCUGAGGCAAGAAGUGGAGCCUCUGAAUCAGAAUACUUCUCCUGUGACUCCUCUUUUUCCAAUCCCUCUUGUUCUGAAUUCUGGAAGACUCCAGAGGAUACUUCUCAGCCUGAAUCAUAUGUGGAGGUCCCAGUCUGCAGUCAGACACCAGGAGAAAAGUCCUCUGACUCAGAAUAUUUCUCCUGUGUCUCCUCACCAUGCAAGCUUAUUUUUGCUGAUGAGGACGUUUUCUUACAGCAGCACAGACCCAGUGGUGCGAAGAUUUCAAACAAUGGUGUCCUGCACACUCCAAUGAUCUGAUAGCAGUUCUUGUGAGCCCCAUAGCAUCGAGGUAGGACUGGCCUGAAGAUGGAUGUCUCUGAUUCUCUGUGGCUGCUUUCAGUUGUUCUGGGGUACAUAUGGCACUCAACUCUGGAGAAAAUAGCCACAUAGAGCUGUGAGAUCAAGGAAUACUGGGGAUACUGUAUGCUCAGGAGACCUGUGGAAAAACUUUCUCCCUCCUGUUACCCACACACAGAGAGUCAGGGGGCUACUGAAGAUACUUGAACCACGGCCUUGUGGAAGAGAAAACAGUAUAGGUAGAAAGAUGUUAGUACUUAGGGAGGCAAGUGUUUCAUACCUAGAGCUAUCAUCAGUAGAACAGAAAACUGAUGACACUCAGCCGGAAUUUAGGGCAAAAGAUUCCUAAAGUGACAGAGGGUUUAAAAAAAUACCCUCUCUUUCUACUUUGAGUUCUACUUUUAUCUUCUCAAGUCCCUUUCAUUUAUUAUAGCUAGAACACCUGGCUCAGUCUUACUCUCCAGCCCAGAUCUUUUCCUUCACUCCUACUUUAUAACCCUUCCCCAUAUAGAAAUCCAUGAAUGCAUGCUUGAUGCAAACAUGUGAAACACAGCAGAAUUUAAUGGUACAGAUCAUAAUACCCAUUCUGCCGUGCAUUCACCCUCAUGCAUUUCUCUCAAAGCAGUGCAUAUUUUUCUAUAUCCUUUUAAGGUAACUCAUACUUUUUCCUUAUGACCUUUUAAUACAUUCACUGCACAGUUAUCUGCCUGAAGGACAGGCAUUCUUAUUGUUGAGGAAGAUAAGGUACUGCACAAAUGAAACCAAAGGCAAUUAAAACUCACUCCUUGGCUUCUCUGGGCUUAAGUACUUGAAGGUGCACAAACACUUCUUAUUCAGUCAUAUUAGGAAUGAUGGAACAUCUAAAAAUCAUCUGAAAAAAUCAUGUAUGUGUAUAUACAGGUAUCAUGAGGCAGUUUUAAGCAUAAUAACUUUAGAAGUAUAAAAGCUAUGAACUUUUAGAAAAUAUAAUUUGUUUUAAUUAUUUGCAUGUCAUUUACAUGUUUAAUUCCGCACAUUUUCAAAGAUUAAAUUUAAUUUCUCUUUGUCAUCCUGACAUCUUCAAUCAGAAGGAGGGAAACAAAAAUAAACAUUAAAAAGUGUUAUGGGCAAUUCACAAAACUAUGUAGGAAAAGGGAAAUUAAAAUAGUUCAACUUUCGAGUGAUUUUUUUUAUAAUUUGUAGCUUUUACCGUCCUGAAAUUAUUAAAGCUUAGAACUGUACUACAACAUUUUGGAAACCUGUGUAUAUACAUUUUUGAUUAUCUUGAAACUUUUAGACUUGUGUGCAAUGAAUGGUAUUUGUAUCUGUGUGUGUACAAGUUUCUCUCUUCAGAUGAUUUAUAGUUGCUUUUGCUUUUAUUGGCCUAAAACUGUUUCUUUCUUCUCUUGAUAAGACACCCUACCUUUUGGACAAAUGUGUGGGCAAGUCAAGCUGGCCAAGUGAGGUCAUUACUUCACUAACUGGCUUCCCUGAUGACCUAGUAAACAUCAAUCCAUGUUGGAUCAAUCUGUACUAAUAACUUGGAAAAUUAAAAUAGAAGAGAUGGAGAUACUACUGGACUUGCUUCAAUCCCUCUUUGUUCAAAGACCUGGCUGUUUUGCCUGUUAUUUUGAUUUACUAGGUAUCCCCACUAACAUUUUAAUAAAUCCUUGUUUUACCUCAAUUAUCCUGAAUUAUUUACUGUUGUCUGUAACCUAAUGUACCUUAAUUGGUGCAAAUUAGCUUCAACCUGAUAAUUGAUUUCAUUUUAAUGGUUGAAAUGAUACAGUCUAGAAGAGAGUAACCUAUGUCUUUGACUUUAUACUGGAACAGUAAGGGAUAAAAUUAUACACAGUAUUUACAGUAUGUCCUUGUUUAAUUAGGAAAGUACAUUGAAAAUGUUUGGGUAUAUAAACAAUAUUAUUUCAAUGAAUAAAAUGGCAUUCAUUAUAUUAGACAUGGUAAAUCCCUUACUGCUAUUUAGCAGCUUUGACUACUUUCUGAGUCAUCACUCUCAUCUUGAAAAUAGGCCUCAUAAUGAUGAAGAUAAUCAUUAUCAUAAGAGUAAUAAGACAGAGGUUAAAGCACCUAAUAUAGUCUCUGGAAUAAAUAGCAGAAUACGUUUUCAUUCAUUUUUGAAUUUUCUUUACCUAUGAGUAUCAGCAGUUUGAUUAUGAUGUGUAUGUGUAGGACUUUUUUUUUUUUUUUUUUUUUUUUUUUUUUUUUUUUUUUUUUUUUUUUUUUUUUUUU